AAAUUGAAGAGUUUGAUCAUGGCUCAGAUUGAACGCUGGCGGCAGGCCUAACACAUGCAAGUCGAACGGUAACAGGAAACAGCUUGCUGUUUCGCUGACGAGUGGCGGACGGGUGAGUAAUGUCUGGGAAACUGCCUGAUGGAGGGGGAUAACUACUGGAAACGGUAGCUAAUACCGCAUAAUGUCGCAAGACUAAAGAGGG
Molecule: ribosomal RNA, 202 nt
Filed under: Shigella sonnei
Lineage: Bacteria; Pseudomonadati; Pseudomonadota; Gammaproteobacteria; Enterobacterales; Enterobacteriaceae
Description: partial 16S ribosomal RNA
Rfam family: Bacterial small subunit ribosomal RNA
Source: RNAcentral